RNAcentral lists this ribosomal RNA (216 nucleotides) under Glomeromycotina sp. RNAcentral's name for it is "partial small subunit ribosomal RNA". The stretch from base 40 to 216 matches the Rfam family "Eukaryotic small subunit ribosomal RNA", at positions 686 to 864 of the family's 1831-position model. Lineage: Eukaryota; Fungi; Glomeromycota. The record is from RNAcentral.
GGGUCAGUAGGUUGGUCGUGCCACCGGUACGUACUGGUCUCACUGAUUCCUCCUUCCUGAAGAACCGUAAUGCCAUUAAUUUGGUGUUGCGGGGAAACAGGACUGUUACUUUGAAAAAAUUAGAGUGUUUAAGGGAAGCUAACGCUUGAAUACAUUAGCAUGGAAUAAUGAAAUAGGACGAUCGAUCCUAUUUUGUUGGUUUCUUGGAUUGACGUA